RNAcentral lists this long non-coding RNA (431 nucleotides) under Panax ginseng (ginseng). RNAcentral describes it as "long non-coding RNA (PGIN_LNC008607)". The record is from RNAcentral. Lineage: Eukaryota; Viridiplantae; Streptophyta; Magnoliopsida; Apiales; Araliaceae.
GAGGAUAUGUUUGUACAUACCUCAGAAGAGGUGUAUGAGCACUUAUGUGUUCUCGGUCGACAAAUUGUCGUGACCACUAAGACCAUAGAGAGAAGGUUAGGAAGUUCCAUGAAACAUAUAGCACACUAGGUGUUUGAAAAAAUGCUAGUGUGGGGCGAAGUUAUGACCUUAGCUUGUAUCACCUUCGAUACCAUUCGUUAUCCAUUUUUAUUGCUUUGAUAAUUAAAUAUAGUUAGAUUAAGUACACAUCUGUUAUUCUGCUGUUCGAAUAAAACUUAAGCGAUACUAAGUUGGUAUUUGGUAAAUAUUAGUGAUAGUUCCUCGUGGGUAUGACACUCUUCUUAUCACUGUAUUACUUGUUAGACCUCGUAUACUUGCGCGUAUUUAGUGAUCGAUAAUCCAACCAAAAAGUUUUUGAUGCUGUUGCCGGG